Molecule: long non-coding RNA, 188 nt
Organism: Astyanax mexicanus (Mexican tetra)
Lineage: Eukaryota; Metazoa; Chordata; Actinopteri; Characiformes; Acestrorhamphidae
Exons: 3
Source: RefSeq, a predicted model, not a curated record
AUAGAUAGAUAGAUAGAUAGAUAGAUAGAUAAGUAUAUAUAAGUAUAGAUAGAUAGAUAGAUAGAUAGAUAAGUAUAUAUAAGUAUAGAUAGAUAGAUAGAUAAGUAUAUAUAAGUAUAGAUAGAUAGAUAGAUAGUUAGAUAGAUAGAUAGAUAGAUAGAUAGAUAGAUAGAUAGAUAGAUAGAUAG